GUUUGAUCCUGGCUCAGAUUGAACGCUGGCGGAAUGCUUUACACAUGCAAGUCGAACGGUAACAGGUCUUCGGAUGCUGACGAGUGGCGAACGGGUGAGUAAUAUAUCGGAACGUGCCCAGUCGUGGGGGAUAACGUAGCGAAAGUUACGCUAAUACCGCAUACGAUCUAAGGAUGAAAGCGGGGGAUCGCAAGACCUCGCGCGAUUGGAGCGGCCGAUAUCAGAUUAGGUAGUUGGUGGGGUAAAGGCUCACCAAGCCAACGAUCUGUAGCUGGUCUGAGAGGACGACCAGCCACACUGGAACUGAGACACGGUCCAGACUCCUACGGGAGGCAGCAGUGGGGAAUUUUGGACAAUGGACGCAAGUCUGAUCCAGCCAUUCCGCGUGCAGGAUGAAGGCCCUCGGGUUGUAAACUGCUUUUGUACAGAACGAAAAGGUCUCCAUUAAUACUGGGGGCUCAUGACGGUACUGUAAGAAUAAGCACCGGCUAACUACGUGCCAGCAGCCGCGGUAAUACGUAGGGUGCAAGCGUUAAUCGGAAUUACUGGGCGUAAAGCGUGCGCAGGCGGUUAUGUAAGACAGAGGUGAAAUCCCCGGGCUCAACCUGGGAACUGCCUUUGUGACUGCAUAGCUAGAGUACGGUAGAGGGGGAUGGAAUUCCGCGUGUAGCAGUGAAAUGCGUAGAUAUGCGGAGGAACACCGAUGGCGAAGGCAAUCCCCUGGACCUGUACUGACGCUCAUGCACGAAAGCGUGGGGAGCAAACAGGAUUAGAUACCCUGGUAGUCCACGCCCUAAACGAUGUCAACUGGUUGUUGGGUCUUAACUGACUCAGUAACGAAGCUAACGCGUGAAGUUGACCGCCUGGGGAGUACGGCCGCAAGGUUGAAACUCAAGGAAUUGACGGGGACCCGCACAAG
Molecule: ribosomal RNA, 919 nt
Filed under: uncultured bacterium
Lineage: Bacteria
Description: bacterial SSU rRNA
Rfam family: Bacterial small subunit ribosomal RNA
Source: RNAcentral